GAUUGCAGGCUGCAACUCGCCUGCAUGAAGUCGGAAUUGCUAGUAAUCGCAGAUCAGCAUGCUGCGGUGAAUACGUUCCCGGGCCCUUGUACACACCGCCCGUCACACCAUGGGAGUCGGUAACACCCGAAGUCGGUAGCCUAACCGUAAGGAGGGCGCCGCCGAAGGUGGGAUUGAUGACUGGGGUGAAGUCGUAACAAGGUACC
Molecule: ribosomal RNA, 206 nt
Filed under: uncultured bacterium
Lineage: Bacteria
Description: partial 16S ribosomal RNA
Rfam family: Bacterial small subunit ribosomal RNA
Source: RNAcentral